Dermacentor andersoni is the source of this 535-nucleotide non-coding RNA. NCBI's taxonomy places the organism in Eukaryota, Metazoa, Arthropoda, Arachnida, Ixodida, Ixodidae. The record is from RefSeq and is a predicted model, not a curated record.
GUAACGGUGAUGUCGCGCUUUGUUUCGUUGCCUUAACCACGUUUUAACACCCUCCAAUUUCGUGGCGUGCGCUUACCAAGCAUAUUGUGUCUCUGUGUCGCUCGUGACGCGUGGUACAGUUACCAAAAAGACUCCUAAAAGUGAAAUAGCCACUGAAAAGAAGCAUUGCAGCCGUGGAGCAUCGAUAUGUUUGGCACGCUGCGAGGCCGUUGCAAGGAGCCGCAUUGCCGAUGGUCAAUGGUAAAUGUUCUUCGCUUACGCGAGAGUGGUGAGCAUCGCUGAUGUUGUGGCUGCUGUAACGAAUACUGAAGACAGCAAUAAAUCUGACCCAGGUGAAGAAGGGAAACUGUGCUCAAAUGCUCCCGAGCUUGUCUUUGAGAACGAAGGCCGUGUUCGGGCUGCAGUGACACAACCAGCUGAAGUGGCCACAACAGGCCAGACAGUCACCCAGGAAAGCGAUUUGGGAUCUUGGCGACGGACGCGAGUGGAUGACGGCGCCUGCGGCGGACAUCAAAACGAGCAGAAGAGAGCACCC